This 2925-nucleotide ribosomal RNA is filed under the name Escherichia coli. Its description in RNAcentral is "bacterial LSU rRNA". It matches the Rfam family "Bacterial large subunit ribosomal RNA". Lineage: Bacteria; Pseudomonadati; Pseudomonadota; Gammaproteobacteria; Enterobacterales; Enterobacteriaceae. The record is from RNAcentral.
GGGUUGUGAGGUUAAGCGACUAAGCGUACACGGUGGAUGCCCUGGCAGUCAGAGGCGAUGAAGGACGUGCUAAUCUGCGAUAAGCGUCGGUAAGGUGAUAUGAACCGUUAUAACCGGCGAUUUCCGAAUGGGGAAACCCAGUGUGAUUCGUCACACUAUCAUUAACUGAAUCCAUAGGUUAAUGAGGCGAACCGGGGGAACUGAAACAUCUAAGUACCCCGAGGAAAAGAAAUCAACCGAGAUUCCCCCAGUAGCGGCGAGCGAACGGGGAGCAGCCCAGAGCCUGAAUCAGUGUGUGUGUUAGUGGAAGCGUCUGGAAAGGCGCGCGAUACAGGGUGACAGCCCCGUACACAAAAAUGCACAUGCUGUGAGCUCGAUGAGUAGGGCGGGACACGUGGUAUCCUGUCUGAAUAUGGGGGGACCAUCCUCCAAGGCUAAAUACUCCUGACUGACCGAUAGUGAACCAGUACCGUGAGGGAAAGGCGAAAAGAACCCCGGCGAGGGGAGUGAAAAAGAACCUGAAACCGUGUACGUACAAGCAGUGGGAGCACGCUUCGGCGUGUGACUGCGUACCUUUUGUAUAAUGGGUCAGCGACUUAUAUUCUGUAGCAAGGUUAACCGAAUAGGGGAGCCGAAGGGAAACCGAGUCUUAACUGGGCGUUAAGUUGCAGGGUAUAGACCCGAAACCCGGUGAUCUAGCCAUGGGCAGGUUGAAGGUUGGGUAACACUAACUGGAGGACCGAACCGACUAAUGUUGAAAAAUUAGCGGAUGACUUGUGGCUGGGGGUGAAAGGCCAAUCAAACCGGGAGAUAGCUGGUUCUCCCCGAAAGCUAUUUAGGUAGCGCCUCGUGAAUUCAUCUCCGGGGGUAGAGCACUGUUUCGGCAAGGGGGUCAUCCCGACUUACCAACCCGAUGCAAACUGCGAAUACCGGAGAAUGUUAUCACGGGAGACACACGGCGGGUGCUAACGUCCGUCGUGAAGAGGGAAACAACCCAGACCGCCAGCUAAGGUCCCAAAGUCAUGGUUAAGUGGGAAACGAUGUGGGAAGGCCCAGACAGCCAGGAUGUUGGCUUAGAAGCAGCCAUCAUUUAAAGAAAGCGUAAUAGCUCACUGGUCGAGUCGGCCUGCGCGGAAGAUGUAACGGGGCUAAACCAUGCACCGAAGCUGCGGCAGCGACGCUGAUGCGUUGUUGGGUAGGGGAGCGUUCUGUAAGCCUGUGAAGGUGUGCUGUGAGGCAUGCUGGAGGUAUCAGAAGUGCGAAUGCUGACAUAAGUAACGAUAAAGCGGGUGAAAAGCCCGCUCGCCGGAAGACCAAGGGUUCCUGUCCAACGUUAAUCGGGGCAGGGUGAGUCGACCCCUAAGGCGAGGCCGAAAGGCGUAGUCGAUGGGAAACAGGUUAAUAUUCCUGUACUUGGUGUUACUGCGAAGGGGGGACGGAGAAGGCUAUGUUGGCCGGGCGACGGUUGUCCCGGUUUAAGCGUGUAGGCUGGUUUUCCAGGCAAAUCCGGAAAAUCAAGGCUGAGGCGUGAUGACGAGGCACUACGGUGCUGAAGCAACAAAUGCCCUGCUUCCAGGAAAAGCCUCUAAGCAUCAGGUAACAUCAAAUCGUACCCCAAACCGACACAGGUGGUCAGGUAGAGAAUACCAAGGCGCUUGAGAGAACUCGGGUGAAGGAACUAGGCAAAAUGGUGCCGUAACUUCGGGAGAAGGCACGCUGAUAUGUAGGUGAAGUCCCUCGCGGAUGGAGCUGAAAUCAGUCGAAGAUACCAGCUGGCUGCAACUGUUUAUUAAAAACACAGCACUGUGCAAACACGAAAGUGGACGUAUACGGUGUGACGCCUGCCCGGUGCCGGAAGGUUAAUUGAUGGGGUCAGCGCAAGCGAAGCUCUUGAUCGAAGCCCCGGUAAACGGCGGCCGUAACUAUAACGGUCCUAAGGUAGCGAAAUUCCUUGUCGGGUAAGUUCCGACCUGCACGAAUGGCGUAAUGAUGGCCAGGCUGUCUCCACCCGAGACUCAGUGAAAUUGAACUCGCUGUGAAGAUGCAGUGUACCCGCGGCAAGACGGAAAGACCCCGUGAACCUUUACUAUAGCUUGACACUGAACAUUGAGCCUUGAUGUGUAGGAUAGGUGGGAGGCUUUGAAGUGUGGACGCCAGUCUGCAUGGAGCCGACCUUGAAAUACCACCCUUUAAUGUUUGAUGUUCUAACGUGGACCCGUGAUCCGGGUUGCGGACAGUGUCUGGUGGGUAGUUUGACUGGGGCGGUCUCCUCCUAAAGAGUAACGGAGGAGCACGAAGGUUGGCUAAUCCUGGUCGGACAUCAGGAGGUUAGUGCAAUGGCAUAAGCCAGCUUGACUGCGAGCGUGACGGCGCGAGCAGGUGCGAAAGCAGGUCAUAGUGAUCCGGUGGUUCUGAAUGGAAGGGCCAUCGCUCAACGGAUAAAAGGUACUCCGGGGAUAACAGGCUGAUACCGCCCAAGAGUUCAUAUCGACGGCGGUGUUUGGCACCUCGAUGUCGGCUCAUCACAUCCUGGGGCUGAAGUAGGUCCCAAGGGUAUGGCUGUUCGCCAUUUAAAGUGGUACGCGAGCUGGGUUUAGAACGUCGUGAGACAGUUCGGUCCCUAUCUGCCGUGGGCGCUGGAGAACUGAGGGGGGCUGCUCCUAGUACGAGAGGACCGGAGUGGACGCAUCACUGGUGUUCGGGUUGUCAUGCCAAUGGCACUGCCCGGUAGCUAAAUGCGGAAGAGAUAAGUGCUGAAAGCAUCUAAGCACGAAACUUGCCCCGAGAUGAGUUCUCCCUGACUCCUUGAGAGUCCUGAAGGAACGUUGAAGACGACGACGUUGAUAGGCCGGGUGUGUAAGCGCAGCGAUGCGUUGAGCUAACCGGUACUAAUGAACCGUGAGGCUUAACCUUACAACGCCGAAG